GACGAACGCUGGCGGCGUGCUUAACACAUGCAAGUCGAACGGAAAGGCCUGCUUUCCCUUGUGGAUUGCGGGUACUCGAGUGGCGAACGGGUGAGUAACACGUGAGUGAUCUGCCCCCAACUUGGGUAUAAGCCUGGGAAACUGGGUCUAAUUCCCGAUAGGACUGCAGGGUGGUGCCUGUGGUGGAAAACGAUUUUCUAGUGGUUGGGGAUGAGCUCGCGGCCUAUCAGCUUGUUGGUGGGGUAAUGGCCUACCAAGGCGGCGACGGGUAGCCGGCCUGAGAGGGUGGACGGCCACAUUGGGACUGAGAGACGGCCCAGACUCCGACGGGAGGCAGCAGUGGGGAAUAUUGCACAAUGGGCGGAAGCCCGAUGCAGCGACGCCGCGUGGGGGAUGACGGCCUUCGGGUGGUAAACUCCUUUCGACCGCGAGGAAGCCACCUGGUUGGAAGGGUGGUGACGGUAGUGGUAGAAGAAGCACCGGCUAACUACGUG
RNAcentral lists this ribosomal RNA (494 nucleotides) under uncultured bacterium. Its description in RNAcentral is "partial 16S ribosomal RNA". It matches the Rfam family "Bacterial small subunit ribosomal RNA", at positions 28 to 507 of the family's 1533-position model. The record is from RNAcentral.